CGGACAGAUUAUUGUAUUCGACUGUAAUCGACGGUAUUCACGACACGAAAUAGGGGAUUAAACUGUUUUUAAAACGGAAAGUGAAUCAAUUAACAUAAUAGACUCCU
Nicotiana attenuata is the source of this 107-nucleotide microRNA precursor. It matches the Rfam family "MIR6152 microRNA precursor family". The record is from Rfam. Lineage: Eukaryota; Viridiplantae; Streptophyta; Magnoliopsida; Solanales; Solanaceae.